AAUUUCUACUACGAGCGGUCCACGUCGGAUUUCUACUGUAAGCCUCCACCUGAGCUUCUAUUGUGAGUGAAUUCCUUCCGAACUUCUAUUGCAGGCAAGCUUCGGCCGAGCUUCCUCGACAAAUGAUCCCCAUCCGGACUUCUACGGAGAUCGGACUCCGACCGAACUUCUGUAGCGGACAGGUUCCAGACGAACUCCUACGACACAC
This 208-nucleotide long non-coding RNA is filed under the name Elaeis guineensis (African oil palm). Its description in RNAcentral is "long non-coding RNA (EGUI_LNC081522)". The record is from RNAcentral. Lineage: Eukaryota; Viridiplantae; Streptophyta; Magnoliopsida; Arecales; Arecaceae.